This 18-nucleotide microRNA is filed under the name Ciona intestinalis (vase tunicate). RNAcentral describes it as "cin-miR-4206-3p". Lineage: Eukaryota; Metazoa; Chordata; Ascidiacea; Phlebobranchia; Cionidae. The record is from miRBase by way of RNAcentral.
AUUGAAUAGUUUAGUGAG